This 892-nucleotide long non-coding RNA is filed under the name Homo sapiens (human). RNAcentral describes it as "HSALNT0406052". Lineage: Eukaryota; Metazoa; Chordata; Mammalia; Primates; Hominidae. The record is from RNAcentral.
CCGAGAUCCGUGCCACUGACCAGAGACACCAUGGCCACUGCAGGGGCACCUCCGCCAGGCCCUGCCAGAGCCAGGCAGCAGCUCCAGCCCUGCCUGAAACUCUGCUCCUUUAGACAGGAGCAGGAAGCUCACGCCUAGAGAGCAGUGGCCAGUGCCAGCCUGCCAGGUUGUCAUGCAUCUCAUGUCAUCCCACCACCAGACUUCGAGGUGACUAUUAUUGGGUGAGACAACCAGGGAGGUGAUGUGACUGGCCUGAGGUCACAGAGCUCAGCCUUGGGGAUCCGAGGAACCAGUCAUCCUCUCUCUCCAGCCCCUCUCAGGGAAUUUCUGCCAACUCCAUGCCAGGCGCUGCCUCCUCUCUCUCAUUGAAGCAUCACUGUAUCCUUUGUGUAUUUAACAAUUUUCUCAUCUGCAAACUGGAGAUGACGAUACUGGUACCUUCCUCACCAGGCCGCUGCUGAAUGAACAUGACAACCACCAUGCGUUAUUACAUUGCAGAUGCAGCAUCCCAGAGCCUGCCUGGGCCCCAUCCACAGGGCCCUGCCCAGUUUGUCUUCAUUCACUGCACUAGGGAGCUGGUGGGCAAGAAGAGCAGCCUCGGUGCUGUUCCACACAGAGCUGGGCUGGAACCAAGCCGAGUCCCACUUGGCUCUAGCAGGUCACUGGAUUCUCUGAGCCUCGGUAUCUCCAAUGGUGAAAGGAGCAUCGCAGUGCCUACCUGCAGGGCCUGAUGUGGAUUGUCCCAAAAGCGCAUGCCACAUGGUGGGGGCUCAAGAAAGCUGUCCCCCUCCCCACCUUCUUCUGGACCACGAAAUCCUGUGGUACACCUAGCCCCUCCCUCACCAGGCAGCCCUCUGACAUCGCAAAAAUUCAGGCUGAGCAUCUGAGCAUU